AGAGUUUGAUCCUGGCUCAGGACGAACGCUGGCGGCGCGCCUAACACAUGCAAGUCGAACGAGCGAGAGAGAGCUUGCUUUCUCGAGCGAGUGGCGAACGGGUGAGUAACGCGUGAGGAACCUGCCUCAAAGAGGGGGACAACAGUUGGAAACGACUGCUAAUACCGCAUAAGCCCACGGGUCGGCAUCGACCAGAGGGAAAAGGAGCAAUCCGCUUUGAGAUGGCCUCGCGUCCGAUUAGCUAGUUGGUGAGGUAACGGCCCACCAAGGCAACGAUCGGUAGCCGGACUGAGAGGUUGAACGGCCACAUUGGGACUGAGACACGGCCCAGACUCCUACGGGAGGCAGCAGUGGGGAAUAUUGCACAAUGGGGGAAACCCUGAUGCAGCGACGCCGCGUGGAGGAAGAAGGUCUUCGGAUUGUAAACUCCUGUUGUUGGGGAAGAUAAUGACGGUACCCAACAAGGAAGUGACGGCUAACUACGUGCCAGCAGCCGCGGUAAAACGUAGGUCACAAGCGUUGUCCGGAAUUACUGGGUGUAAAGGGAGCGCAGGCGGGAAGACAAGUUGGAAGUGAAAUCUAUGGGCUCAACCCAUAAACUGCUUUCAAAACUGUUUUUCUUGAGUAGUGCAGAGGUAGGCGGAAUUCCCGGUGUAGCGGUGGAAUGCGUAGAUAUCGGGAGGAACACCAGUGGCGAAGGCGGCCUACUGGGCACCAACUGACGCUGAGGCUCGAAAGUGUGGGUAGCAAACAGGAUUAGAUACCCUGGUAGUCCACACCGUAAACGAUGAUUACUAGGUGUUGGAGGAUUGACCCCUUCAGUGCCGCAGUUAACACAAUAAGUAAUCCACCUGGGGAGUACGACCGCAAGGUUGAAACUCAAAGGAAUUGACGGGGGCCCGCACAAGCAGUGGAGUAUGUGGUUUAAUUCGACGCAACGCGAAGAACCUUACCAAGUCUUGACAUCCCUUGACAGGCAUAGAAAUAUGUUUUCUCUUCGGAGCAAGGAGACAGGUGGUGCAUGGUUGUCGUCAGCUCGUGUCGUGAGAUGUUGGGUUAAGUCCCGCAACGAGCGCAACCCUUAUGGUCAGUUACUACGCAAGAGGACUCUGGCCAGACUGCCGUUGACAAAACGGAGGAAGGUGGGGAUGACGUCAAAUCAUCAUGCCCUUUAUGACUUAGGCUACACACGUACUACAAUGGCGUUAAACAAAGAGAAGCAAGACCGCGAGGUGGAGCAAAACUCAGAAACAACGUCCCAGUUCGGACUGCAGGCUGCAACUCGCCUGCACGAAGUCGGAAUUGCUAGUAAUCGUGGAUCAGCAUGCCACGGUGAAUACGUUCC
RNAcentral lists this ribosomal RNA (1345 nucleotides) under metagenome. Its description in RNAcentral is "bacterial SSU rRNA". It matches the Rfam family "Bacterial small subunit ribosomal RNA", at positions 8 to 1374 of the family's 1533-position model. The record is from RNAcentral.